This 467-nucleotide ribosomal RNA is filed under the name uncultured bacterium. RNAcentral describes it as "partial 16S ribosomal RNA". It matches the Rfam family "Bacterial small subunit ribosomal RNA", at positions 28 to 506 of the family's 1533-position model. The record is from RNAcentral.
GACGAACGCUGGCGGCGUGCUUAACACAUGCAAGUCGAACGGAAAGGCCCUGCUUUUGUGGGGUGCUCGAGUGGCGAACGGGUGAGUAACACGUGAGUAACCUGCCCUUGACUUUGGGAUAACUUCAGGAAACUGGGGCUAAUACCGGAUAGGAGCUCCUGCUGCAUGGUGGGGGUUGGAAAGUUUCGGCGGUUGGGGAUGGACUCGCGGCUUAUCAGCUUGUUGGUGGGGUAGUGGCUUACCAAGGCUUUGACGGGUAGCCGGCCUGAGAGGGUGACCGGCCACAUGGGGACUGGGAUACGGCCCAGACUCCUACGGGAGGCAGCAGUGGGGAAUAUUGCACAAUGGGCGGAAGCCUGAUGCAGCACCGCCGCGUGCGGGAUGACGGCCUUCGGGUUGUAAACCGCUUUCGCCUGUGACGAAGCGUGGGUGACGGUAAUGGGUAAAGAAGCACCGGCUAACUACGU